GGGAAGCAGGUUCCCUGCUAAGCAGAGAGCCCAAUGCAUGGCUCGAUCCCAUGACCCCAAGACCAUGACCUGAGCUGAAGGCAGCGGCUUAAUCCACUGAGCCACCCAGGCGCCCCAAUAAAUAAAAUCUUAAAAAAAAAAAAAAGGAAGAAGAAGUUUCCUAGAGAGUUAAAUCACCUGUAGAUGCACUUGUUAUACAAGGCAGUCCUGCUCUGGGCCCUAUUUCUAGGUUUUGGAUGACUCUUCCUGACACAGGAGACGUGGAUGCUCGGCGGUGACCCAUGGUGGGAAUUCUUCUGACCCGUUCUGGCCUCAGCCUCCUUAGCCAAGGGGCUCGGACCACAUCUUCUGGCUCCUCCGACAGUCUCCACCUUCCAAGACCAAUAUUACCUCCCAGAUGGACCCAGGAUCCCCACUUCAUUUUAUUUCUACCCCUCUCGGGACAUCUGUGUUUCCAAUUGGCCAAAGGGCAAGCUAAUGGGAGAGUCUGACACUUUGUGGAUUCAGCUGGAAAGUGUUUGGCAGUUGACUGGUAAUGUCUGCCAUGAGUGCAAAAGUGAAAAUAGGCGGACGCCUGGGUGGCUCAGUUGGUUGGGCAGCUGCCUUUGGCUUGGGUCAUGACCCCACUGUCCUGGGAUGGAGUCCCACAUCGGGCUCUCCGCUCGCCGGGGAGCCUGCUUCUCCCUCUGCCUCUGCCUGCCAUUCUGUCUGCCUGUGCUCGCUCCCCCCCCCAACCCGAUAAAUAAAUAAAAUCUUAAAAAAAAAAAGUGAAAAUAGGUCGUAAAUUCUGUAUUUACCCGCCCAUUUUCCUAGGAUUGAUGUGAGGGUGGAAUCACCAUUGUCAAUGAAUAUCUUCACGUUGCAAGAAAUGGACACCAUCACUGAAUCUUGCCUAAAACAAUGAAUUUUGGCUUCUGUAACUGUCUAGGGAUAAUGAGACUUCAGGUACGGUAUGAUCAGAGUUCUGGCUCAAUUUCUCUGAGACUCUCUUAGCCACAGGCCAGCUCUUUUCCACAGGCCAGCUCUGUCUACAAGGCGACCAAAUGCCUGCUACAAGUCCAGGUGGCACACCCACAGGUUACACUGACCUGGGGGGUCGACAGCACUGCUCUGAGCCAGCAGGCUAAGCAACAGCCCCGAGGUUGCUCCUCAUUGGACAAUUUCGGUCACAUGCCCAUCCCUGGAGCACAGAUCUUUGUCUGGGUGGAGGGGUGGGGUGGGGAGGAGUGGGGUAGAGGGGGAGCAGGGAGGAGGAACAGGGUUGUCCCCCAGGCUCACAGUUGAGGGAAAGAGUGAACCGUGGAAGAAAACCAGUCCAAAGGAGGGAAAGGAUGGAUGCUGGG
RNAcentral lists this long non-coding RNA (1343 nucleotides) under Mustela putorius furo (domestic ferret). Its description in RNAcentral is "lncRNA (ENSMPUG00000031958.1)". Lineage: Eukaryota; Metazoa; Chordata; Mammalia; Carnivora; Mustelidae. The record is from RNAcentral.